CUUCGGAAUCUUGAGAGCGGCGCACGGGUGCGGAACACGUGUGCAACCUACCUUUAUCAGGGGGAUAGCCUUUCGAAAGGAAGAUUAAUACCCCAUAAUAUAUUGAAUGGCAUCAUUUAAUAUUGAAAACUCCGGUGGAUAGAGAUGGGCACGCGCAAGAUUAGAUAGUUGGUGAGGUAACGGCUCACCAAGUCAAUGAUCUUUAGGGGGCCUGAGAGGGUGAUCCCCCACACUGGUACUGAGACACGGACCAGACUCCUACGGGAGGCAGCAGUGAGGAAUAUUGGACAAUGGGUGAGAGCCUGAUCCAGCCAUCCCGCGUGAAGGACGACGGCCCUAUGGGUUGUAAACUUCUUUUGUAUAGGGAUAAACCUUUCCACGUGUGGAAAGCUGAAGGUACUAUACGAAUAAGCACCGGCUAACUCCGUGCCAGCAGCCGCGGUAAUACGGAGGGUGCAAGCGUUAUCCGGAUUUAUUGGGUUUAAAGGGUCCGUAGGCGGACUCGUAAGUCAGUGGUGAAAUCUCAUAGCUUAACUAUGAAACUGCCAUUGAUACUGCGGGUCUUGAGUAAGGUAGAGGUAGCUGGAAUAAGUAGUGUAGCGGUGAAAUGCAUAGAUAUUACUUAGAACACCAAUUGCGAAGGCAGGUUACCAUGUCUUAACUGACGCUGAUGGACGAAAGCGUGGGGAGCGAACAGGAUUAGAUACCCUGGUAGUCCACGCCGUAAACGAUGCUAACUCGUUUUUGGGUCUUCGGAUUCAGAGACUAAGCGAAAGUGAUAAGUUAGCCACCUGGGGAGUACGAACGCAAGUUUGAAACUCAAAGGAAUUGACGGGGGCCCGCACAAGCGGUGGAUUAUGUGGUUUAAUUCGAUGAUACGCGAGGAACCUUACCAAGGCUUAAAUGGGAAUUGAUCGGUUUAGAAAUAGACCUUCCUUCGGGCAAUUUUCAAGGUGCUGCAUGGUUGUCGUCAGCUCGUGCCGUGAGGUGUUAGGUUAAGUCCUGCAACGAGCGCAACCCCUGUCACUAGUUGCUAACAUUCAGUUGAGGACUCUAGUGAGACUGCCUACGCAAGUAGAGAGGAAGGUGGGGAUGACGUCAAAUCAUCACGGCCCUUACGCCUUGGGCCUGGCAGGUAAUUCAAUGGCCGGUACAGAGGGCAGCUACACAGCGAUGUGAUGCAAAUCUCGAAAGCCGGUCUCAGUUCGGAUUGGAGUCUGCAACUCGACU
Molecule: ribosomal RNA, 1230 nt
Filed under: Chryseobacterium sp.
Lineage: Bacteria; Pseudomonadati; Bacteroidota; Flavobacteriia; Flavobacteriales; Weeksellaceae
Description: bacterial SSU rRNA
Rfam family: Bacterial small subunit ribosomal RNA
Source: RNAcentral